UACGUAGGGCGCAAGCGUUAUCCGGAAUUAUUGGGCGUAAAGAGCUCGUAGGCGGUUUGUCGCGUCUGCCGUGAAAGUCCGGGGCUCAACUCCGGAUCUGCGGUGGGUACGGGCAGACUAGAGUGAUGUAGGGGAGACUGGAAUUCCUGGUGUAGCGGUGAAAUGCGCAGAUAUCAGGAGGAACACCGGUGGCGAAGGCGGCCUUCUGGGCCUGUCCUGACGCUGAGGCGCGAAAGCUGGGGGAGCGAACAGG
Molecule: ribosomal RNA, 253 nt
Filed under: uncultured bacterium
Lineage: Bacteria
Description: partial 16S ribosomal RNA
Rfam family: Bacterial small subunit ribosomal RNA
Source: RNAcentral